This 355-nucleotide ribosomal RNA is filed under the name uncultured bacterium. RNAcentral describes it as "partial 16S ribosomal RNA". The record is from RNAcentral.
GGAGUCUGGGCCGUGUCUCAGUCCCAGUCUGGAUGAUCAUCCUCUCAAACCAUCUAAGGAUCGUCGACUUGGUGAGCCAUUACCUCACCAACUAUCUAAUCCUACGCAGGCCAGUCCCAAACCGGAUAAAUCCUUUAAUCCGAAGAUCACAUGCGGUAUUAGCCACUCUUUCGAGUAGUUAUCCCUCAGUUUGGGGUCCGUUCCCACGCGUUACUCAGCCGUCCGCCGCUCGUCAGCGAGGUUCCACUGUACUCUCGAAAUCAACACUCCGUCAAUACGCGAGGCGUCAAGAGCACGGUGGAACCCCCUGUUACCGCUCGACUUGCAUGUAUUAGGCACGCCGCCAGCAUUCAUC